AUGAUCUGGCAUGUACAGAAUGAAAACUUCAUUCUCGAUUCUACGAGAAUUUUUAUGAAAGCGUUUCAUUUGCUUCUCUUCAAUGGAAGUUUCAUUUUCCCAGAAUGUAUCCUAAUUUUUGGCCUAAUUCUUCUUCUGAUGAUCGAUUCAACCUCUGAUCAAAAAGAUAGACCUUGGUUCUAUUUCAUCUCUUCAACAAGUUUAGUAAUAAGCAUAACGGCCCUAUUAGUACAUUGA
RNAcentral lists this ribosomal RNA (237 nucleotides) under Triticum aestivum (bread wheat). RNAcentral's name for it is "partial small subunit ribosomal RNA". Lineage: Eukaryota; Viridiplantae; Streptophyta; Magnoliopsida; Poales; Poaceae. The record is from RNAcentral.